UUCGCAAUGCCCGAAAGGGUGACGAAGCGACGCCGCGUGUGGGAAGAAGGCCUUCGGGUUGUAAACCACUGUUGGGAGUUAGGAAAUGUGGAGGUGUUAAUAGCGCCUUUACUUGACUAAAGCUCCAGAGGAAGCCACGGCUAACUCUGUGCCAGCAGCCGCGGUAAUACAGAGGCGGCAAGCGUUGUUCGGAAUUAUUGGGCGUAAAGAGCACGUAGGCGGCUCUGCAAGUCAGCUGUGAAAGCCUUCUGCUUAACGGAAGAACGGCAGUUGAAACUACAGGGCUUGAGUGCGGGAGGGGAGAGUGGAACUUCUGGUGGAGCGGUGAAAUGCGUAGAUAUCAGAAGGAACGCCGGCGGCGAAAGCGGCUCUCUGGUCCGCAACUGACGCUGAGUGUGCGAAAGCUAGGGGAGCAAACGGGAUUAGAUACCCCGGUAGUCCUAGCCGUAAACGAUGGGCACUAAGUAGAGGGGUUUU
This 477-nucleotide ribosomal RNA is filed under the name uncultured Planctomycetales bacterium. Its description in RNAcentral is "bacterial SSU rRNA". It matches the Rfam family "Bacterial small subunit ribosomal RNA", at positions 365 to 832 of the family's 1533-position model. The record is from RNAcentral. Lineage: Bacteria; Pseudomonadati; Planctomycetota; Planctomycetia; Planctomycetales.